GGUGGAAUGUUUCUAUCUUGUCCCAUUGGUGUAUCACUGAGGUUUCUCACUGCUAAUGACUGCUGCCAAGAUAUAUAAAUGGAAUGGUUCAGCUAAGAGAAGAAUAUGAGGUUGCCAUUUUGGAGGCACUUUGGUAUGAAGGGAAAAACACCUAACUGAGAAUCAGACUACAUAAAUGCCAUUCCAUCUGCCACUAAUUAGGUACAUGGGCUUCAGCUUAUCACACACUCAGAGUCCAAAGA
Molecule: long non-coding RNA, 242 nt
Organism: Myotis davidii
Lineage: Eukaryota; Metazoa; Chordata; Mammalia; Chiroptera; Vespertilionidae
Exons: 3
Source: RefSeq, a predicted model, not a curated record